This 253-nucleotide ribosomal RNA is filed under the name uncultured bacterium. RNAcentral's name for it is "partial 16S ribosomal RNA". It matches the Rfam family "Bacterial small subunit ribosomal RNA", at positions 524 to 776 of the family's 1533-position model. The record is from RNAcentral.
UACGGGGGGAGCAAGCGUUGUUCGGAUUUACUGGGCGUAAAGGGCGCGUAGGCGGCGUAACUAGUCACUUGUGAAAUCUCCGGGCUUAACCCGGAGCGGCCAAGUGAUACUGUUGUGCUAGAGUGCGGAAGGGGCUACUGGAAUUCUCGGUGUAGCGGUGAAAUGCGUAGAUAUCGAGAGGAACACCUGCGGCGAAGGCGGGUAGCUGGGCCGACACUGACGCUGAGGCGCGAAAGCCAGGGGAGCGAACGGG